GAUGUACUCCCUCCGUCCCAAAAUUCUUGUCUUAGAUUUGUCUAUAUACGGAUGUAUCUAUUCAUGUUUUAGUGUUAGAUACAUCCGUAUCUAGAUAAAUUUAAGACAAGAAUUUUGGGAUGGAGGUAAUAGUAA
This is a non-coding RNA of Triticum aestivum (bread wheat), 135 nucleotides long. The record is from Rfam. Lineage: Eukaryota; Viridiplantae; Streptophyta; Magnoliopsida; Poales; Poaceae.